This 1032-nucleotide ribosomal RNA is filed under the name Argynnia dentistoma. RNAcentral's name for it is "SSU rRNA". It matches the Rfam family "Eukaryotic small subunit ribosomal RNA", at positions 599 to 1632 of the family's 1831-position model. Lineage: Eukaryota; Tubulinea; Elardia; Arcellinida; Hyalospheniidae. The record is from RNAcentral.
GUAUGUUAAAGUUGCUGCAGUUAAAAAGCUCGUAGUUGAGUGUCGGGGCACACCGGUCACGGCCACACCUUCGGUGCGUGCUGGACCCCUUGUCCCUAGCUUCUGGGUGCGCCGCCCUCUCCAUUUACUUGGAAGGGAUGGUGUUCCAGAUAGUUUACUUUGAAAAAAUUAGAGUGUUAAAAGCAGGCGUAACAUGGCCUUGAAUAGAUUAGCAUGGGAUAAUGAAAGAGGGCUUUGGCCUUUGUUUCGUUGGUUUCUUCGGCCGAAGCACAUGAUUAAUAGGGAUGGUUGGGGCCGCUCGUAUCGAGUUGUCAGAGGUGAAAUUCUAGGAUUAACUCGAGACGGACAACUGCGAAAGCAUUCGGCAAGGAUGUUUUCAUUAAUCAAGAACGAAAGUUGGGGGAUCGAAGAUGAUCAGAUACCGUCGUAGUCUCAACCAUAAACCAUGUCGACCGAGGACCCGGGAACGUUACAUGAUGACUUUCCUGGUACUCUGUGAGAAAUCACAAGUAUUUGGAUUCCGGGGGGAGUAUGGUCGCAAGGCUGAAACUUAAAGGAAUUGACGGAAGGGCACCACCAGGAGUGGAACCUGCGGCUUAAUUUGACUCAACACGGGGAAACUUACCAGGUCCGGACACGGCGAGGAUUGACAGAUUGAUAGCUCUUUCUUGAUUCCGUGGAAAGUGGUGCAUGGCCGUUUUUAGUUGGUGGAGUGAUUUGUCUGGUUAAUUCCGUUAACGAACGAGACCUUAACCUAUUAAAUAGUUGCGCGAACCCAGACCUUCGGGUCUCUCCGUUCGCGGUAGACUUCUUAGAGGGACUCUUCACACCUAGUGAAUGGAAGUUUGAGGCAACAACAGGUCUGUGAUGCCCUUCGAUGUUCUGGGCCGCACGCGCGUUACAAUGAUGCGUUCAACGAGCCGUCUCCUCGCCCGAAGGGGCUUGGGAACCUUGUGAAAGCGCGUCGUGAUUGGGAUAGAACAUUGUAAUUAUUGUUUUUGAACGAGGAAUUCCUAGUAAGCGCAAGUCNUC